Molecule: long non-coding RNA, 262 nt
Filed under: Salvia miltiorrhiza (redroot sage)
Lineage: Eukaryota; Viridiplantae; Streptophyta; Magnoliopsida; Lamiales; Lamiaceae
Description: long non-coding RNA (SMIL_LNC010547)
Source: RNAcentral
UUCUUUGUUUUGGGAUUUUUAGUGCAGCGUUGAGCUUGGAAGAUGCGGGAACUCGCGCUUGGUUCAUACCACCACCAUGGAGCAUGUUUUUUUUUUCUGUGAGUAGUGACACACAUAUCAUCAUCCCUCCAAACUUAUUUUCGAACUUAUGUUCUGUAAUAAGUUUGGGGGAGGGGGUGAGAAUAGAUAUGUGUAUCACUUUUAUCUUUUUGUUGGCUUUAUUGUUUUAUCCUGUUUGGUUGGUGGUGUGUGAUUGUUUUUG